AUUACGGUGAAUAUAGUCAUAAUAAUUAUAGAAAGCGAAUAGACAAAUGUAAAAUAUAACCCAUUACAUAAUGCAGAAAAUGAAUAAUAAAUAUAAAUAAAAAAAUAUAAGAAAUUUUACUAUUACAACGCUGUUCAAUGAGACUUCAAUAAAUUUGUUCUUUUAAUGUACUGUUGGUUUGUUAGCAACUUUCAGCAGUACCUGUGAAGCAAAAACAUGUCUUUUGGUUCAA
Molecule: unclassified non-coding RNA, 232 nt
Filed under: Hevea brasiliensis (rubber tree)
Lineage: Eukaryota; Viridiplantae; Streptophyta; Magnoliopsida; Malpighiales; Euphorbiaceae
Source: RNAcentral